AGCGAACGCUGGCGGCAGGCCUAAUACAUGCAAGUCGAGCGGCCCUUCGGGGCAGCGGCGGACGGGUGAGUAACGCGUGGGAAUACGCCCUUUGGUACGGAACAACUGAGGGAAACUUCAGCUAAUACCGUAUGUGCCCUUCGGGGGAAAGAUUUAUCGCCAUUGGAGUAGCCCGCGUUGGAUUAGGUAGUUGGUGAGGU
RNAcentral lists this ribosomal RNA (200 nucleotides) under uncultured bacterium. RNAcentral describes it as "partial 16S ribosomal RNA". It matches the Rfam family "Bacterial small subunit ribosomal RNA", at positions 29 to 258 of the family's 1533-position model. The record is from RNAcentral.